AUUGAACGCUGGCGGCAUGCCUUACACAUGCAAGUCGAACGGUAACAGGUCUUCGGAUGCUGACGAGUGGCGAACGGGUGAGUAAUACAUCGGAACGUGCCCGAUCGUGGGGGAUAACGAGGCGAAAGCUUUGCUAAUACCGCAUACGAUCUACGGAUGAAAGCGGGGGAUCUUCGGACCUCGCGCGGCCGGAGCGGCCGAUGGCAGAUUAGGUAGUUGGUGGGAUAAAAGCUUACCAAGCCGACGAUCUGUAGCUGGUCUGAGAGGAUGAUCAGCCACACUGGGACUGAGACACGGCCCAGACUCCUACGGGAGGCAGCAGUGGGGAAUUUUGGACAAUGGGCGAAAGCCUGAUCCAGCCAUGCCGCGUGCAGGAUGAAGGCCUUCGGGUUGUAAACUGCUUUUGUACGGAACGAAAAGCCUCUUUCUAAUAAAGAGGGGUCAUGACGGUACCGUAAGAAUAAGCACCGGCUAACUACG
Molecule: ribosomal RNA, 480 nt
Filed under: uncultured bacterium
Lineage: Bacteria
Description: partial 16S ribosomal RNA
Rfam family: Bacterial small subunit ribosomal RNA
Source: RNAcentral